AUGUGACUGGCAGAGUGAACACACUGGUGCCCUAUACAUGUCAGCUUUUUGUCCUCAAACCAUCUUUAACCAGUUGCAGCGGCCAGCUAAUGUUUCAACAUUAUUUUUAGAAUGUCAAACUCUGAUCAUCACAUGGACAACAGAUAUUUUCAGCUGAAGGAUGCAUGCUUAAUGUCAAAAUGUUGUGUGCAUGCUAGAGCUUUACUCUGUAUUUCUCUCCGUUGGAUUAUUUAAUAAUCAAUUUGAGUAAAGUUUCACUUUAAUACUCCUAGAAAUUAGAGGAAAAUAUUGCUUACAUUCAUUUGCUGUGUUACACAGACACAGUACACAGCCAAGGUAAAAGAUAAAAGAUCAAUUCCUAUGGAUCUCAGAGUUUCAAGCUUUUAAAGCUGUGUUAUAGAAACUUUGUAAUUAUUGUGGGUAAUCUUGCAGAAAAUUAAAUGUUGAGUUUGCAUAUGUGAAGAAGUUUGGACUGUUUGGCUCACCAUAGCUUGUUAGUGCUCAGCAUUUCACCAUCCCCAUCAGGCUUUGGGUUUCAGUUCACUGCUAGUAAAAUGCUAUUUGUAGCAUGAGUGAAAUCCCCAGCAGGGCCCGCAGAAUUAUCCAACCCACAAUGUCAACCCUGUUGCGAUGGAGAAGCUUUGCGCUUCCAAGAUUUAAAAGGUAAGGGAGAAAGUAGGUAGCUUAAAUAUAUUCAGAUUUAAAAAAAAAAAACGUGGAUGAUUUCCUGGUUAGAAUUUUCCCCAUGGGAUGUGGAAUAAAGGUGAAAAAGACAAACAAGUCAUAUAUUUAACGAGUCAUAUAUUUGCUGUAAAAAAUAAUGGGAGUAGAAUAUGCAUGUGGUGGCCAUUGAGCUACAUAGGGCAGCCACCAUCCCAACAAUAUCAAUUGCAAUGACUUAUGUAGAGUUUACUGUGUAUCAGGUACUUAUGUAGAGCUUACUGCACACCAGGAACUGCCAGUUCUGGCUAUCCAAGGAUUCAGUUAAUCCUUAAUGCAGCUCCACUGAGGAUGUACCACGCCUGUGCCCUUCAGUACUCAGACACUUCCGGGCUCAAGUCGGUCGGAACAAGGUGAGCUUCUGGCAGGAAGUGUAAGGAACAGAGCAAUGGCUGCAGGGACAACAAUACAUUUGGAAAGAAGGCUUUAUUGUUCUCAAUGCCCCCAGUUGCUCAAGCUUUCAUUCUACGGUGCUGUUGUUGCCAAAGUGCUUCUCUGGGAAACUAGGAUUGCCAUCAUAAAGCAGGUUUAUAUUAGCUUCUAGUGGGAGGAAAAGGAAAAGGUUUUAUAACACACUGCUUGCCAGUUCUUCACCUGGUUCCACGCCUGUCUUUUCCUCUCCAAUAGCCAUCCUCAACCAAACGGGUCUUCAGGUUGUAUGUAAAUGCCGAAGAAAGGAGUGUCCCCUGCAGCUCAGCCUUGUAACUUAGGAGGUGGGUGCUCACAUGAGUGGCCGUCACUUUCUCUCUGGCUGCUGUCUGUCUCAUCUCCAGAGUUUGCAGUGGGAAUAUGAGCUCCCUCUUUAAAAUGCCAUCACCGGGAUGGAUUUGAUCCUCUCAAAUCUCAUGUUUCAAAGAAAAAUAGGUAAAAUUUCUCUAGGUGAGCCUCAUGGGAGGUUCUCUAAGAACACACUGAACAAUGGAAUUUUCCCUUGGAAAUGCCACAUGGAAAGUCAUAUUCGCAGAGGGGAUUUGUGGGGGAAUUGGGAAGUUAGCUAGAUUUGCUGCUUUCAUACCUUCUAGGGGGUUCUGAGGCCAGGGAAUUAAGUUUGUCGUAGCUGGAAUCUUACUUUGCCAAAGUGUGGCCUAUUGUAUUAAACCUCAGUUGCCAUGAAAAAACCGGAAAGGAAGCUAUAGCACAAAUAACUAAAGAUAUGUCAGUGUUCUGAGCAUCAGUAUUUGUGGGGCACUAAAUACUGUUUAUCUUUCUAGUAGCAGUUGGACACCUCUGCAUUUUUCUUACUAUACAAUGCCUUCCUGUUGGUACUGGAGUUGGGGAAGAGAGGCACUCUAGUGCUUGAGGUCUUCAGUGUCAUGCUUUCUUCUUUCUUCCUGACAACCCCAAGUAGCACACGGUAAGAGUAUAUUCAAGUUGGAGAAGACUGGCAUGCUUGGGGUAGAGAGUUGGAAAGAAAGAAGGCCAAUCCCCCUGUUGCUGAUCCCCUUCUGUUUCAAAGAACAGUCACCAUUCAUUUGUUCAGAGCAGGCUUCUCUGUGCCUCCAGGCUGAUUCUUCCACGCAACUCAUAGUCUGUUUGUUCAAGUUCCCCUAACACGUAUAAGGAAUGCCCGCGAUUUGGAGAACUUCUCCUCUUCCUCUGCCCAUGGGAGCCGCUGCCCUUUCCCAAGCUCCUGGCCACUCUUCUGUGGAGGAAAGGCCUGGGUCCGUCUGAAAUGCAGGCCCGGAUCAGGAGAGUCUGUAGCUCCUUAGAGACGUCUGCCUGCGCUGGUCUGUGGUUCAUUGCUGGGACCAUCUGGGUUCUGCACCUGACUUUGCCGUUGACUUAUUAGCUUGUGACCUUGAGGCAAAUUACCAUUGCUGGAGUUCCCUUCAUGGCUCAGCGGUUGAUGUACCUGACUAGGAUCCAUGAGGAUGCGGGUUCGAUCCCUGGCCUCGCUAUGAGCUGUGGUGUAGGUCGCAGAUGAGACUCAGAUCCCACAUGGCUGCAGAUAUGGUGCAGGCCGGCAGCUGUAGCUCCGAUUAGACCCCUAGCCUGGGAACCUCCAUAUGCCAGGGGUG
Molecule: long non-coding RNA, 2738 nt
Filed under: Sus scrofa (pig)
Lineage: Eukaryota; Metazoa; Chordata; Mammalia; Artiodactyla; Suidae
Description: lncRNA (ENSSSCG00015062685.1)
Source: RNAcentral